CAGUCGCCGCGGGAAUACAGAGGGUGCGAGCGUUAAUCGGAUUUACUGGGCGUAAAGCGUGCGUAGGCGGCUUCUUAAGUCGGAUGUGAAAUCCCUGAGCUUAACUUAGGAAUUGCAUUCGAUACUGGGAAGCUAGAGUAUGGGAGAGGAUGGUAGAAUUCCAGGUGUAGCGGUGAAAUGCGUAGAGAUCUGGAGGAAUACCGAUGGCGAAGGCAGCCAUCUGGCCUAAUACUGACGCUGAGGUACGAAAGCAUGGGGAGCAAACAGGAUUAGAUACCCCAGUAGUCCCUGUCUCUAUACA
Molecule: ribosomal RNA, 301 nt
Filed under: uncultured bacterium
Lineage: Bacteria
Description: partial 16S ribosomal RNA
Rfam family: Bacterial small subunit ribosomal RNA
Source: RNAcentral